GGUGAACGCUGGCGGCGUGCCUAAUACAUGCAAGUCGAGCGAACAGACGAGGAGCUUGCUCCUCUGACGUUAGCGGCGGACGGGUGAGUAACACGUGGAUAACCUACCUAUAAGACUGGGAUAACUUCGGGAAACCGGAGCUAAUACCGGAUAAUAUAUUGAACCGCAUGGUUCAAUAGUGAAAGACGGUUUUGCUGUCACUUAUAGAUGGAUCCGCGCCGCAUUAGCUAGUUGGUAAGGUAACGGCUUACCAAGGCAACGAUGCGUAGCCGACCUGAGAGGGUGAUCGGCCACACUGGAACUGAGACACGGUCCAGACUCCUACGGGAGGCAGCAGUAGGGAAUCUUCCGCAAUGGGCGAAAGCCUGACGGAGCAACGCCGCGUGAGUGAUGAAGGUCUUCGGAUCGUAAAACUCUGUUAUUAGGGAAGAACAAAUGUGUAAGUAACUAUGCACGUCUUGACGGUACCUAAUCAGAAGGCCACGGCUAACUACGUG
RNAcentral lists this ribosomal RNA (497 nucleotides) under uncultured bacterium. Its description in RNAcentral is "partial 16S ribosomal RNA". It matches the Rfam family "Bacterial small subunit ribosomal RNA", at positions 28 to 507 of the family's 1533-position model. The record is from RNAcentral.